This 467-nucleotide ribosomal RNA is filed under the name uncultured bacterium. RNAcentral describes it as "partial 16S ribosomal RNA". It matches the Rfam family "Bacterial small subunit ribosomal RNA", at positions 29 to 507 of the family's 1533-position model. The record is from RNAcentral.
AUGCACGCUGGCGGCGUGCUUCACCCCUGCCAGUCGCACGGAAAGGCCGAAGCUUGCUUCGGUACUCGAGUGGCGAACGGGUGAGUAACACGUGGGUGAUCUGCCCUGUACUUCGGGAUAAGCUUGGGAAACUGGGUCUAAUACCGGAUAUGACGAUCUCUUGGAUGGGGUUGUGGAAAGCUUUUACGGUAUGGGAUGAGCUCGCGGCCUAUCAGCUUGUUGGUGGGGUAAUGGCCUACCAAGGCGUCGACGGGUAGCCGGCCUGAGAGGGUGUACGGCCACAUUGGGACUGAGAUACGGCCCAGACUCCUACGGGAGGCAGCAGUGGGGAAUAUUGCACAAUGGGUGCAAGCCUGAUGCAGCGACGCCGCGUGGGGGAUGACGGCCUUCGGGUUGUAAACUCCUUUCGCAAUCGACGAAGCCUUUUGGUGACGGUAGGUUGAGAAGAAGCACCGGCUAACUACGUG